GCCGGCAUAGCUCAGCUGGUAGAGCAACUGACUUGUAAUCAGUAGGUCCCGGGUUCGACUCCUGGUGCCGGCACCA
This 76-nucleotide transfer RNA is filed under the name Saccharospirillum salsuginis. RNAcentral describes it as "tRNA-Thr". It matches the Rfam family "tRNA". From Rfam's summary of the family: Transfer RNA (tRNA) molecules are approximately 80 nucleotides in length. Lineage: Bacteria; Pseudomonadati; Pseudomonadota; Gammaproteobacteria; Oceanospirillales; Saccharospirillaceae. The record is from RNAcentral.